RNAcentral lists this ribosomal RNA (468 nucleotides) under uncultured bacterium. RNAcentral describes it as "partial 16S ribosomal RNA". It matches the Rfam family "Bacterial small subunit ribosomal RNA", at positions 28 to 507 of the family's 1533-position model. The record is from RNAcentral.
GACGAACGCUGGCGGCGUGCUUAACACAUGCAAGUCGAACGGAAAGGCCCUGCUUUUGUGGGGUGCUCGAGUGGCGAACGGGUGAGUAACACGUUAGUAACCUGCCCUUGACUUUGGGAUAACUUCAGGCAACUGGGGCUAAUACCGGAUAGGAUCUCCUGCUGCAUGGUGGGGGUUGGAAAGUUUCGGCGGUUGGGGAUGGACUCGCGGCUUAUCAGCUUGUUGGUGGGGUAGUGGCUUACCAAGGCUUUGACGGGUAGCCGGCCUGCGCGGGUGACCGGACACAUUGGGACUGAGAUAAGGCACAGACUACUACGGGAGGCAGCAGUGGGGAAGAGUGCACAAUGGGCGGAAGCCUGAUGCAGCAACGCCGCGUGCGGGAUGACGGCCUGCGGGUUGUAAACCGCUUUCGCCUGUGACGAAGCGUGAGUGACGGUAAUGGGUAAAGAAGCACCGGCUAACUACGUG